RNAcentral lists this ribosomal RNA (92 nucleotides) under Pogona vitticeps (central bearded dragon). Lineage: Eukaryota; Metazoa; Chordata; Lepidosauria; Squamata; Agamidae. The record is from RNAcentral.
CCAUACCACUCUGAACAUGCCUACUUUCAGAAGCUAAGCAGGGUCAGGCCUGGUAAGUACUUGGAUGAGGAACCAUCAGGUAAUACCAGGGG